This 922-nucleotide ribosomal RNA is filed under the name uncultured Methylococcaceae bacterium. RNAcentral describes it as "SSU rRNA". It matches the Rfam family "Bacterial small subunit ribosomal RNA", at positions 77 to 997 of the family's 1533-position model. The record is from RNAcentral. Lineage: Bacteria; Pseudomonadati; Pseudomonadota; Gammaproteobacteria; Methylococcales; Methylococcaceae.
CCUUCGGGAGCUGACGAGUGGCGGACGGGUGAGUAACGCGUAGGAAUCUGCCUUAUAGUGGGGGACAACGUGGGGAAACCCACGCUAAUACCGCAUACGCCCUACGGGGGAAAGCGGGGGCUCUUCGGACCUCGCGCUAUGAGAUGAGCCUGCGUUAGAUUAGCUAGUUGGUAGGGUAAAGGCCUACCAAGGCGACGAUCUAUAGCUGGUCUGAGAGGACGAUCAGCCACACUGGGACUGAGACACGGCCCAGACUCCUACGGGAGGCAGCAGUGGGGAAUAUUGGACAAUGGGCGCAAGCCUGAUCCAGCAAUACCGCGUGUGUGAAGAAGGCCUUAGGGUUGUAAAGCACUUUCAAUGGGGAGGAAAACCUGCCGGUCAAUACCCGGUAGCUUGACAUUACCUGUAGAAGAAGCACCGGCUAACUCCGUGCCAGCAGCCGCGGUAAUACGGAGGGUGCGAGCGUUAAUCGGAAUUACUGGGCGUAAAGCGUGCGUAGGCGGUUCGUUAAGUCAGAUGUGAAAGCCCCGGGCUCAACCUGGGAACUGCAUUUGAAACUGGCGGACUAGAGUUUAGUAGAGGGGAGUGGAAUUUCAGGUGUAGCGGUGAAAUGCGUAGAUAUCUGAAGGAACACCAGUGGCGAAGGCGACUCCCUGGACUAGAACUGACGCUGAGGUACGAAAGCGGGGUAGCAAACAGGAUUAGAUACCCUGGUAGUCCACGCCGUAAACGAUGUCAACUAGCCGUUGGUCCUAUUUACAGGAUUAGUGGCGCAGCUAACGCAUUAAGUUGACCGCCUGGGGAGUACGGCCGCAAGGUUAAAACUCAAAUGAAUUGACGGGGGCCCGCACAAGCGGUGGAGCAUGUGGUUUAAUUCGAUGCAACGCGAAGAACCUUACCUACCCUUGACAUCCAUAGAAUC